This is a non-coding RNA of Myotis lucifugus (little brown bat), 71 nucleotides long. Lineage: Eukaryota; Metazoa; Chordata; Mammalia; Chiroptera; Vespertilionidae. The record is from Rfam.
GCAGCCAUGGCUCAGUGGUUGAGUGUCAGCCUGUGAACCAGGAAGUCACGGUUCGAUUCCCCGUGGGGGCA